ACGCUCGACACCUACGAGAGGCAGCAGUAGGGAAUUUUCGGCAAUGGGGGGAACCCUGACCGAGCAACGCCGCGUGAAGGAAGAAGGAAUUCGUUCUGUAAACUUCUGUUAUAAAGGAAGAACGGCGGAUAUAGGGAAUGAUAUCCGAGUGACGGUACUUUAUGAGAAAGCCACGGCUAACUACGUGCCUGCAGCCGCGGUAAUCUGAGCGGGCUGGCAAGGC
RNAcentral lists this ribosomal RNA (223 nucleotides) under uncultured bacterium. RNAcentral describes it as "partial 16S ribosomal RNA". It matches the Rfam family "Bacterial small subunit ribosomal RNA", at positions 328 to 539 of the family's 1533-position model. The record is from RNAcentral.